This 468-nucleotide ribosomal RNA is filed under the name uncultured bacterium. RNAcentral's name for it is "partial 16S ribosomal RNA". It matches the Rfam family "Bacterial small subunit ribosomal RNA", at positions 28 to 507 of the family's 1533-position model. The record is from RNAcentral.
GAUGAACGCUGGCGGCGUGCUUAACACAUGCAAGUCGAACGGAAAGGCCCUGCUUUUGUGGGGUGCUCGAGUGGCGAACGGGUGAGUAACACGUGAGUAACCUGCCCUUGACUGUGGGAUAACUUCAGGAAACUGGGGCUAAUACCGGAUAGGAGCUCCUGCUGCAUGGGGGGGGUUGGAAAGUUUCGGCGGUGGGGGAUGGACUGGCGGCUUAUCAGCUUGUUGGGGGGGUAGUGGCUUACCAGGGCUUUGACGGGUAGCCGGCCUUGGCGCGUGACCGGCCACCUUGCGCCUGCGGGACGGCCCAGACGCCUACGGGAGGCAGCAGUGGGGAAUAUUGCACAACGGGCGGAAGCCUGAUGCAGCAACGCCCCGUGCGUGAUGACGGCCUUCGGGUUGUAAACCGCUUUCGCCUGUGACGAAGCGUGAGUGACGGUAAUGGGUAAAGAAGCACCGGCUAACUACGUG